RNAcentral lists this small RNA (287 nucleotides) under Pan troglodytes (chimpanzee). RNAcentral's name for it is "processed transcript". Lineage: Eukaryota; Metazoa; Chordata; Mammalia; Primates; Hominidae. The record is from RNAcentral.
GGUGUGUGCCUCUUUGUAUUGUAGCCUGGAGUCAGUGCUCGCUUCUGCGCCUGCAGGAUGUCCAUGUGUCUGCUGGCAGCCUAGGGCCCAGGCCCGGGCCACCAUGGCGCUGCCUCCGGGCCCAGCCGCCCUCCGGCACACACUGCUGCUCCUGCCAGCCCUUCUGAGCUCAGGUACACCCCUGUUCAGUCGUUGACCAAGUCCUUCUGGGUUCCAAAGCCCCCUCUCUCCCCUGUCUGCACUUCUGUUUGGGUACCCACUCCAGGCCCCAAGCCCUGGAGUCCCUG